GGCAGUGUAGCAUAGGGGUAAGGAAUAGGGCUUGUAACCAAAAGGUUGCUGGUUCGAUUCCUCACUGGGG
This 70-nucleotide transfer RNA is filed under the name Megalops atlanticus (tarpon). Its description in RNAcentral is "tRNA-OTHER". The record is from RNAcentral. Lineage: Eukaryota; Metazoa; Chordata; Actinopteri; Elopiformes; Megalopidae.